Molecule: ribosomal RNA, 1635 nt
Filed under: Shigella sonnei
Lineage: Bacteria; Pseudomonadati; Pseudomonadota; Gammaproteobacteria; Enterobacterales; Enterobacteriaceae
Description: partial 23S ribosomal RNA
Rfam family: Bacterial large subunit ribosomal RNA
Source: RNAcentral
CAUAAGUAACGAUAAAGCGGGUGAAAAGCCCGCUCGCCGGAAGACCAAGGGUUCCUGUCCAACGUUAAUCGGGGCAGGGUGAGUCGACCCCUAAGGCGAGGCCGAAAGGCGUAGUCGAUGGGAAACAGGUUAAUAUUCCUGUACUUGGUGUUACUGCGAAGGGGGGACGGAGAAGGCUAUGUUGGCCGGGCGACGGUUGUCCCGGUUUAAGCGUGUAGGCUGGUUUUCCAGGCAAAUCCGGAAAAUCAAGGCUGAGGCGUGAUGACGAGGCACUACGGUGCUGAAGCAACAAAUGCCCUGCUUCCAGGAAAAGCCUCUAAGCAUCAGGUAACAUCAAAUCGUACCCCAAACCGACACAGGUGGUCAGGUAGAGAAUACCAAGGCGCUUGAGAGAACUCGGGUGAAGGAACUAGGCAAAAUGGUGCCGUAACUUCGGGAGAAGGCACGCUGAUAUGUAGGUGAAGUCCCUUGCGGAUGGAGCUGAAAUCAGUCGAAGAUACCAGCUGGCUGCAACUGUUUAUUAAAAACACAGCACUGUGCAAACACGAAAGUGGACGUAUACGGUGUGACGCCUGCCCGGUGCCGGAAGGUUAAUUGAUGGGGUCAGCGCAAGCGAAGCUCUUGAUCGAAGCCCCGGUAAACGGCGGCCGUAACUAUAACGGUCCUAAGGUAGCGAAAUUCCUUGUCGGGUAAGUUCCGACCUGCACGAAUGGCGUAAUGAUGGCCAGGCUGUCUCCACCCGAGACUCAGUGAAAUUGAACUCGCUGUGAAGAUGCAGUGUACCCGCGGCAAGACGGAAAGACCCCGUGAACCUUUACUAUAGCUUGACACUGAACAUUGAGCCUUGAUGUGUAGGAUAGGUGGGAGGCUUUGAAGUGUGGACGCCAGUCUGCAUGGAGCCGGCCUUGAAAUACCACCCUUUAAUGUUUGAUGUUCUAACGUGGACCCGUGAUCCGGGUUGCGGACAGUGUCUGGUGGGUAGUUUGACUGGGGCGGUCUCCUCCUAAAGAGUAACGGAGGAGCACGAAGGUUGGCUAAUCCUGGUCGGACAUCAGGAGGUUAGUGCAAUGGCAUAAGCCAGCUUGACUGCGAGCGUGACGGCGCGAGCAGGUGCGAAAGCAGGUCAUAGUGAUCCGGUGGUUCUGAAUGGAAGGGCCAUCGCUCAACGGAUAAAAGGUACUCCGGGGAUAACAGGCUGAUACCGCCCAAGAGUUCAUAUCGACGGCGGUGUUUGGCACCUCGAUGUCGGCUCAUCACAUCCUGGGGCUGAAGUAGGUCCCAAGGGUAUGGCUGUUCGCCAUUUAAAGUGGUACGCGAGCUGGGUUUAGAACGUCGUGAGACAGUUCGGUCCCUAUCUGCCGUGGGCGCUGGAGAACUGAGGGGGGCUGCUCCUAGUACGAGAGGACCGGAGUGGACGCAUCACUGGUGUUCGGGUUGUCAUGCCAAUGGCACUGCCCGGUAGCUAAAUGCGGAAGAGAUAAGUGCUGAAAGCAUCUAAGCACGAAACUUGCCCCGAGAUGAGUUCUCCCUGACCCUUUAAGGGUCCUGAAGGAACGUUGAAGACGACGACGUUGAUAGGCCGGGUGUGUAAGCGCAGCGAUGCGUUGAGCUAACCGGUACUAAUGAACCGUGAGG